UUGCUUUUGUAGCUCAUAAGUGUGAUGAUUGAGUUUGCAUGUGCAUGUGUGAGAUGUGCCACCCUCAAACUUUGUUACAACGUGGGCACAUUAUCCAUGUGACA
Small nucleolar RNA from Callithrix jacchus (white-tufted-ear marmoset), 104 nucleotides. NCBI's taxonomy places the organism in Eukaryota, Metazoa, Chordata, Mammalia, Primates, Cebidae. The record is from Ensembl.